RNAcentral lists this small RNA (3268 nucleotides) under Pongo abelii (Sumatran orangutan). RNAcentral describes it as "retained intron". Lineage: Eukaryota; Metazoa; Chordata; Mammalia; Primates; Hominidae. The record is from RNAcentral.
UCAGGCAGGUAUGCAUGGGAGGUGGGGAUCGGAACGGGGUGUUUCUACUGCAACCGCCUGGAGACCUGGCCGGUACCAUUCUCCAUAGUGCAGAUGGGGAAACAGGGUUGGAGAGAGGGGACCUCGUCUGGGUCGUUAACAAUGCGGUGCGUAGCUGUGAGGGAGUUUACACCUCUGACUUCGGGCCUUGGCUCCUGGGACGGCGCACUGGUGCACAGAGCCGCUUCUGGAGUCUGGUGGACUCGGGUUCGUGUCUUGCCUGGGACAGUUUCUUUUCUUUUCUUUUUUUUUUUUUUUUUUGAGACGGAGUCUCUCUCUGGCACCCAGGCUGGAGUGCAGUGGCGUGACCUCGGCUCGCUGCAACCUCCGUCUGCUGGGUUCAAGCAGUUCUCCUGCCUCAGCCUCCCGAGUAGCUGGGACUACAGGUGCGCGUCACUAUGCCCGGCUAAUUUUUUGUAUUUUUAGUAGAGACAGGGUUUCACCAUGCUGGCCAGGCUGGUCUCGAACUCCUGACCUCGUGAUCCGCGCACCUCGGCCUCCCAAAGUGCUGGGAUUACAGGCGUGAGCCACCGUGCCCAGCUUGCCUGGGACAGUUUCUACCUGAGUGACGUUGGGCAAGUCGCUUCCCUUCUCUGACCCUACUUGUAUCUGAAGAUGUGGCACUUAGCAGGUGCUCAAUAAAUGCUAGUUUGGACUUUUAUCUGGAAGCAAAGGGGACCGCUGAUUUAAACCUUCAGUUAAACUUGCUUGUGACCUCUUUAAAUAUAAAAUUGUAAAUUUUUUAGUUGGUGGUUUACGCUGAUGUCCUGGAUUAUAGGUUAAAUUAGGAGGAAAUUUUCAGCAUGUAAAUCCAUGACAGUACACACACAAUGUCAGAUUCAAAGCUCCCAAUCAAAGGCAAUCAUCUGCUCCUUGUAACAUCAGUUAAGAUCAUGUAACAUCUGGUCCUUGCUGUGUGUUGAGCUGCCUCCCAGGCCUUGGAUAUUCGUAGACUAAUGCACUGCUUGCCAUGGGUUUGGUGUGAUUUUCCCCCAUCUUAUGGAUUAAGAAAGUGAAAUUCAGAAAUAAUGACUUGCUCAAGAUCACACACGCUAGGUUAGACACAGAUCUGUCCUGUCCCCACAUAUGUGCCCUAACCUACCACCAACCCAUUUAUUAGCAGAGACUGAGCUAUGGGCUCAGCCCACUCCAGCUAAAAAUGUGAGGAAAACGUUAAGUGGCCAAGACAAGAAUGAUCAAAUAGGUGGGUAAGGCUCUAAAUGGAGUCAAGGGGGUGUCAGAGCAAGAGCAAAACUAUUCUCAGGCAAUGUAUUGGUAGAAGCGGGGGUGUCAUACAAGGCUCACCUGCUUUCCUGGUUCCUCUCACUCCCAGGGUGGCAACCAACUAUAUCUGAGGACCAGAGCCAUUUUGAGGCACCAGAGCUUGUGACCUCUCCAUCUCCACCCAGCUGGGUCCAGGGGCCACUCUCAGCACCCACCCCAGCAGCUGACAUCAUAAAGCAGACUUGGGAACCUGGAAGCACUCUGGAGAACCUUUUCCUGAGACAUGCAGCUUUGGGGUCGAAUGCUGUGGGCCCUCCUGUCCGGCCCAGGGAGGAGGGGAAGUACCCGGGGCUGGGCCUUCAGCUCAUGGCAACCCCAACCACCUCUGGCUGGGUUAUCCAGUGCCACAGAACUGGUCAGCCACUGGACUCGGGUCUUUGAGAAGAGGGGUAUCCCUGAGGCCCGGGAAUCCAGUGAGUACAUCGUGGCUCAUGUCCUUGGAGCCAAAACAGUUAAGUUUAGUGUUGUCAAGAGGACAGGAAGAGGGAGGAGGGAGGACUUGGGGAGGGGAUAUCCAGGUUUUCUGUUCACUAAGAGUGCUUAGCUGAGACUGAUGGGAUUUUUCUGAAGGAAUGUCUUAGCGCCUGGCACACACUGUAACAGUUUGUUGAAUGAAUGAAUAUAUCUCUGCCUAAGUGUUCUGGGAUAGACACCUGGAAGCCUGGUGUUAGCUGUGUAACCUUAGGCAGGCUGCCCCCUCUGGGCUCAGAUGAUGAGAGGGUUGGGCCUCCAGACCAGUGCUGGGCAGGCAUUAUCCACAUAAGACACCUGGGUUGGAGCCCUUGGGCCCAGUGAGCCAGCCACUUACAUUCUCUGUGGGGACAGUUUCAGAGCCUGAGGCCGGCACUUUGGACCCAGCCCUUGACCUCUCAGCAACUACAAUGUAUCCAGGAGCUGAGUAGCCGUCGAUUGCAGAGGAACUGGUUGAGUGGGUGCUGGAAGAGGUGGCCCAGAGGUCCCAUGCUGUGGGAUCCCCAGGCAGCCCCCUCAUUCUGGAGGUGGGCUGCGGAUCAGGAGCCAUCUCCCUCAGCCUGCUGAGCCAGCUCCCCCAGAGCCGAGUCAUUGCUGUGGAUAAGGGGGAAGCUGCUAUCUCUCUGACCCAUGAGAAUGCUCAGAGCUAUGAAGACCCCGCGGCCCUGGAUGGUGGGGAGGAGGGCAUGGACAUCAUUACCCACAUUCUGGCCCUGGCACCCCGGCUCCUGAAGGACUCUGGGUAUGAAUGGGAUGGGUCUCCUAGGUCUGUCCCCAGCAGGCUCCUCUGCUCCUAAUGUGUACUGGGCAGGCCCUGGCAGAGGUGCGCACAGGACCGUCACCUUGCCAGCCCAAGCAGCCCAGAAGGGCAGGCCCCAGACCUGUCCUGCUGAGCCCACCCAUUUCUCCCCCAUGUAGUAGUAUCUUCUUAGAAGUGGACCCAAGGCACCCGGAGCUUAUCAGCAGCUGGCUUCAGAGCCGGCCUGACCUGUACCUUAAUCUUGUGGCUGUGCGCAGGGACUUCUGUGGGAGGUAAGAUCCUAGCCCCCUUUAGCCCUGUAGCAUGCUGGUCUUUCCACUGGGGCCAUCCUCAGCCCUGGCUGUCAGGAGAGUGUGCUGUUCCCACUCCCUGUUCAUUCCCCGAGGCCCAGGCGGUAACCAGCCCCUGUCUCUGUCUCCUCAGGCCCCGGUUCCUGCAUAUCCGGAGGUCUGGGCCAUAGCGUGGCUGCCCUGUGGAUGCCUUGUCAGUGCCGCCAGCCUGACCAGAGGGAGGUGGAUGGCACUUUCCAGAGCCCAGGUGCUUAUGGCAUUUCCCAAGGUUCUGUGAUUUCCCCAUGCUCUGCAUUUCUAGGAUAUUCUAGGACACCUGGAUUGGCUCCAUCACAUCAGAGUGGCUGAGGGCAGUUGCUCUGUGUUGGUGAAAUUGCUAUGGGGGUAUCGGGGGAUAUGGCCAGUAAAGUAUUGAGAGACUAAC